AUACGGAGGAUCCGAGCGUUAUCCGGAUUUAUUGGGUUUAAAGGGUGCGCAGGCGGCCAUUUAAGUCAGCGGUUAAAUCGUGGGGCUCAACCCCAUUCUGCCGUUGAUACUGGGUGGCUUGAUUGCGGUCGAGGUUGGCGGAAUUCGUUGUGUAGCGGGGAAAUGCAUAGAUAUGACGAAGAACACCGAUUGCGUAGGCAGCUGACCAGACCGCAAAUGACGCUCAUGCACGAAAGUGCGGGGAUCGAACAGGAUUAGAUACCCUGGUAGUCCGCACAGUAAACGGUGAAUACUUGUUUUCGGCGAUAUAAUGUCGGAGGCAAAGCGAAAGCGAUAAGUAUUCCACCUGGGGAGUACGCCGGCAACGGUGAAACUCAAAUGAAUUGACGGGG
Molecule: ribosomal RNA, 392 nt
Filed under: uncultured bacterium
Lineage: Bacteria
Description: partial 16S ribosomal RNA
Rfam family: Bacterial small subunit ribosomal RNA
Source: RNAcentral